AGUGAACGCUGGCGGUAGGCCUAACACAUGCAAGUCGAACGGCAGCACAGGAGAGCUUGCUCUCUGGGUGGCGAGUGGCGGACGGGUGAGGAAUACAUCGGAAUCUACUUUUUCGUGGGGGAUAACGUAGGGAAACUUACGCUAAUACCGCAUACGACCUACGGGUGAAAGCAGGGGACCUUCGGGCCUUGCGCGAUUGAAUGAGCCGAUGUCGGAUUAGCUAGUUGGCGGGGUAAAGGCCCACCAAGGCGACGAUCCGUAGCUGGUCUGAGAGGAUGAUCAGCCACACUGGAACUGAGACACGGUCCAGACUCCUACGGGAGGCAGCAGUGGGGAAUAUUGGACAAUGGGCGCAAGCCUGAUCCAGCCAUACCGCGUGGGUGAAGAAGGCCUUCGGGUUGUAAAGCCCUUUUGUUGGGAAAGAAAUCCAGCUGGCUAAUACCCGGUUGGGAUGACGGUACCCGGAGAAUAAGCACCGGCUAACUUCGUGCCAGCCGCCGCAGUAA
Molecule: ribosomal RNA, 506 nt
Filed under: uncultured bacterium
Lineage: Bacteria
Description: partial 16S ribosomal RNA
Rfam family: Bacterial small subunit ribosomal RNA
Source: RNAcentral